Non-coding RNA from Schizosaccharomyces pombe (fission yeast), 521 nucleotides. Lineage: Eukaryota; Fungi; Ascomycota; Schizosaccharomycetes; Schizosaccharomycetales; Schizosaccharomycetaceae. The record is from the annotation of a GenBank genome assembly.
AAGUGAAGGAACAGAUUAUCGUCAUAAAUGUUUCAGCAAAGAACUGAAUGAUAAAAAAUUUGUUCAAUUCGUUCUAAAUAGAGUGCCCUGAAAUAAUCUAAUUUGUUUCAGCACCAAAUAGGGACAAGGUCUGGUAGCAUGAGAUACAAAGCUACUCAAUACUCGCUCUAUUUUCCUUUUUUUGUACAUUUCUCAAUACAUUAACACUUCAAUUCUUUAUAUCUGGAUUUUCGAGACCGGAUUUAAGCUCUUCUUAGGUAGCUCGCAGAAUUCCUAAAACUCCCACAACUGUAAACCAAUCCCCUAAGUAUUAGCUCAAAAGGAUAACAGUUUAAGUGAAAAUCUUGCCGCAACUCUUCUUGCUGAACCCAUAACUCUUAUUCUUUUUGUCAACGAAAAUCAUGAGUGAAAUGGCUACGCCAAUUAUCACUUUCCUACAUGAUUAAGCAUUUAUAUUCGACCGAGAUUCUUUAUUUUUAAAUUUUUUGAAGCAGUAAAUAAGUUGAUUCUCCAAGGUAUAA